Molecule: ribosomal RNA, 425 nt
Filed under: uncultured bacterium
Lineage: Bacteria
Description: partial 16S ribosomal RNA
Rfam family: Bacterial small subunit ribosomal RNA
Source: RNAcentral
GUGGGGAAUCUUGCGCAAUGGGCGAAAGCCUGACGCAGCCAUGCCGCGUGAAUGAUGAAGGUCUUAGGAUUGUAAAAUUCUUUCACCGGGGACGAUAAUGACGGUACCCGGAGAAGAAGCUCCGGCUAACUUCGUGCCAGCAGCCGCGGUAAUACGAAGGGGGCUAGCGUUGCUCGGAAUUACUGGGCGUAAAGGGCGCGUAGGCGGACAGCUUAGUCAGAGGUGAAAGCCCAGGGCUCAACCUUGGAAUUGCCUUUGAUACUGGCUGUCUUGAGUUUGGGAGAGGUGAGUAGAACUCCGAGUGUAGAGGUGAAAUUCGUAGAUAUUCGGAAGAACACCAGUGGCGAAGGCGACUCACUGGCCCAAUACUGACGCUGAGGCGCGAAAGCGUGGGGAGCAAACAGGAUUAGAUACCCUGGUAGUCC